GAAUAGUUAGCUCAGUUGGUAGAGCGCUACGCAAGUAGAGGUAGACAGUUCGAAUCUGUUACUAUUUU
RNAcentral lists this transfer RNA (68 nucleotides) under Anaerostipes hadrus. RNAcentral describes it as "tRNA-Und (NNN) (tRNA-Und-NNN-1-1)". It matches the Rfam family "tRNA". Rfam says of the family: Transfer RNA (tRNA) molecules are approximately 80 nucleotides in length. Their secondary structure includes four short double-helical elements and three loops (D, anti-codon, and T loops). Further hydrogen bonds mediate the characteristic L-shaped molecular structure. tRNAs have two regions of fundamental functional importance: the anti-codon, which is responsible for specific mRNA codon recognition, and the 3' end, to which the tRNAs corresponding amino acid is attached (by aminoacyl-tRNA synthetases). tRNAs cope with the degeneracy of the genetic code in two manners: having more than one tRNA (with a specific anti-codon) for a particular amino acid; and 'wobble' base-pairing, i.e. permitting non-standard base-pairing at the 3rd anti-codon position. Lineage: Bacteria; Bacillati; Bacillota; Clostridia; Lachnospirales; Lachnospiraceae. The record is from RNAcentral.